Molecule: ribosomal RNA, 206 nt
Filed under: uncultured bacterium
Lineage: Bacteria
Description: partial 16S ribosomal RNA
Rfam family: Bacterial small subunit ribosomal RNA
Source: RNAcentral
CACGCAGGUGGCUUGGCAAGUUGGAUGUGAAAGCCCCGGGCUUAACCUGGGAACUGCAUUCAAUACUGCCGAGCUAGAGUAUGGGAGAGGAAAGUGGAAUUCCCGGUGUAGCGGUGAAAUGCGUAGAUAUCGGGAGGAACAUCAGUGGCGAAGGCGACUUUCUGGCCCAAUACUGACACUCAUGUGCGAAAGCGUGGGAGCAAACA